This 164-nucleotide ribosomal RNA is filed under the name uncultured bacterium. Its description in RNAcentral is "partial 16S ribosomal RNA". It matches the Rfam family "Bacterial small subunit ribosomal RNA", at positions 355 to 511 of the family's 1533-position model. The record is from RNAcentral.
UAGGGAAUCUUCCACAAUGGACGAAAGUCUGAUGGAGCAACGCCGCGUGAGUGAAGAAGGGUUUCGGCUCGUAAAACUCUGUUGUUAAAGAAGAACAUAUCUGAGAGUAACUGUUUACCCAGUGACGGUAUUUAACCAGAAAGCCACGGCUAAUUACGUGCCAG